AUGAACGCUGGCGGCGUGCCUAACACAUGCCAGUCGAACGAAGCACCUUACCUGAUUCUUCGGAUGAAAGUUUGGUGACUGAGUGGCGGACGGGUGAGUAACGCGUGGGUAACCUGCCCUGUACAGGGGGAUAACAGCUGGAAACGGCUGCUAAUACCGCAUAAGCGCACGAGGAGACAUCUCCUUGUGUGAAAAACUCCGGUGGUACAGGAUGGGCCCGCGUCUGAUUAGCUGGCUGGCAGGGUAACGGCCUACCAAGGCAACGAUCAGUAGCCGGUCUGAGAGGAUGAACGGCCACAUUGGAACUGAGACACGGUCCAAACUCCCACGGGAGGCAGCAGUGGGGAAUAUUGCACAAUGGGGGAAACCCUGAUGCAGCAACGCCGCGUGAGUGAAGAAGUAUUUCGGUAUGUAAAGCUCUAUCAGCAGGGAAGAUAAUGACGGUACCUGACUAAGAAGCUCCGGCUAAAUACGUG
Molecule: ribosomal RNA, 476 nt
Filed under: uncultured bacterium
Lineage: Bacteria
Description: partial 16S ribosomal RNA
Rfam family: Bacterial small subunit ribosomal RNA
Source: RNAcentral